UAGGAAAUGGCACCACAGUGGAGUCUCAAGGCAAAGGAACUGUCAUGGUGGAAACAAAGAAAGGUACGAAAUUCAUCAAGGAUGUUUUACUAGUUCCUAAUCUUAAAGAGAAUCUUUUAUGUAUUGGCCAAAUGAUGGAGAAUGGAUAUUCUCUUCAUUUUGAGAAAGAUACAUGCAAAAUUUAUGAUAGUAAAAUGAUAGAAAUUGGACAAGUAAAAAUAGAGAAGAGAAAUAGAAGCUUUCCUAUAAGCUUCAAACCUGGAACUAAUAUUGCCAUGAAGAUAGAAGUUGAUGACUCAUGGCUUUGGCAUAGGAGAUUUGGCCACUUCAACACACAUGCCUUAAAGCUUCUAUAUCAGAAAAACAUGAUGAGAGAUCUUCCAUUCUUGAAGGAGAAUAAUGAAUCGUGCGAAGGAUGUCUCCUCGGAAAACAACACCGAUUACCAUUCUCAACUGACAAAGCAUGGAGAGCAAAAGACUUAUUGGAGUUGCUUCAUACCGAUGUUUGCGGACCAAUGAGAACGCCUUCACAUCACAACAACAGGUAUUUCAUCCUCUUCAUUGAUGACUUCUCUAGAAUGACAUGGGUCUAUUUCUUAAAGGCAAAGUCAGAAGUCUUCGGAGUAUUCAAGAAAUUUAAGGCCCUUGUUGAGAAGCAAAGUGGGAAACAAAUAAAAAUACUCAGAAGUGAUCGUGGCAAGGAGUACACAUCUCACGAGUUUGACAAAUUCUGUGAAGAUGAAGGCAUAGAGCGACAACUUACAGUUGCAUAUACUCCACAACAAAAUGGCGUGUCAGAGAGAAAGAAUCGCACGGUUAUGGAGAUGGCAAGAUCAAUGCUAAAAGAGAAAAACAUGCCUAACAUUUUUUGGGCUGAAGNAGUCUACACUGCAGUUUACAUUCUAAACAGAUGUCCAACUAAGGCAGUCCAAGACAAGACUCCUAUUGAAGCUUGGAGUGGGAGAAAGCCAUCGGCUAAACACCUACGAGUAUUUGGGUCUAUCUGCUACAUACAUGUUCCUGAUCAAAGGAGGCACAAGCUUGAAGACAAGACUAUACGAGGAAUAUUCUUGGGAUAUAGCACACACUCAAAAGGCUAUCGAGUCUACAACCUACAAACAAAAAAGCUCAUCAUUAGUCGAGAUGUUGAAGUUGACGAAAAUGCUUCUUGGAAUUGGGAAGAAGAAAAAGUCGUUAAAAGCAACAUACUACUUCCAGUGCAGCAAUCUCAAGAAGAAACUCAAGAAGAAGCAGAAAAUGCAGGUACGCUUUCUCCACCUCCACAACAACAAGAUUCUUCACCUGAAUCUAGUCCAGGAAGAGUAAGAUCUUUGGUAGACAUAUAUGAAACUUGCAAUAUAGCCAUGAUUGAGCCUAACUGUUAUGAAGAAGCAUCAAAGCAAGAAGUAUGGGUCAAGGCAAUGGAAGAAGAGAUUAAAAUGAUUGAGAAGAAUAACACUUGGGAACUCGUAAAUUGCCCUCAUGGAAAAGAUGUCAUAGGAGUGAAAUGGAUAUAAAACAAAGCUUAAUCCUGAUGGAACUAUACAAAAGCACAAGGCAAGAUUAGUUGCUAAAGGCUACUCACAACAACCAGGAAUAGACUACAAUGAGACAUUUGCUCCAGUUGCUCGCUUAUAUACAAUUAGAGUCUUAAUAGCCCUUGCAGCACAAAAAGGAUGGAACAUCUAUCAACUAGAUGUCAAAUCAGCCUUUCUAAAUGGAGUGCUCGAAGAAGAAAUUUAUGUUGAACAACCACAAGGCUUCAUCAAAAAAGGAAAUAAAGGCAAAGUACUAAGACUAAAAAAGGCAUUAUACGGCCUAAAGCAAGCUCCUCGAGCAUGGUAUAGCAAGAUUGAUAAAUACUUCAUCGAUCAAGGAUUCAGGAGGAGCAAGAGUGAGCCAACACUAUAUAUUAAGGCACAAGGUCAGUACCAUCUCAUUAUCUCUUUAUAUGUCG
Molecule: long non-coding RNA, 1957 nt
Filed under: Vigna radiata
Lineage: Eukaryota; Viridiplantae; Streptophyta; Magnoliopsida; Fabales; Fabaceae
Description: long non-coding RNA (VRAD_LNC000168)
Source: RNAcentral